This 487-nucleotide ribosomal RNA is filed under the name uncultured bacterium. RNAcentral's name for it is "bacterial SSU rRNA". It matches the Rfam family "Bacterial small subunit ribosomal RNA", at positions 501 to 987 of the family's 1533-position model. The record is from RNAcentral.
CUACGUGCCAGCAGCCGCGGUAAUACGUAUGUCACAAGCGUUAUCCGGAUUUAUUGGGCGUAAAGCGCGCGCAGGCGGAUUGGUCAGUCUGUCUUAAAAGUUCGGGGCUUAACCCCGUGAUGGGAUGGAAACUGCCAAUCUAGAGUAUCGGAGAGGAAAGUGGAAUUCCUAGUGUAGCGGUGAAAUGCGUAGAUAUUAGGAAGAACACCAGUGGCGAAGGCGACUUUCUGGACGAAAACUGACGCUGAGGCGCGAAAGCCAGGGGAGCGAACGGGAUUAGAUACCCCGGUAGUCCUGGCCGUAAACGAUGGGUACUAGGUGUAGGAGGUAUCGACCCCUUCUGUGCCGGAGUUAACGCAAUAAGUACCCCGCCUGGGGAGUACGACCGCAAGGUUGAAACUCAAAGGAAUUGACGGGGGCCCGCACAAGCGGUGGAGUAUGUGGUUUAAUUCGACGCAACGCGAAGAACCUUACCAGGUCUUGACAU